CUACCUCUCCCCUAAAAAACCCUCAAACUUGAUUAGGUUUUCAGUUUCAACCAUCUACGGGUGCCGCAAAACCCAACAAGAAUAAUGAUUUCGUCUGGUACUCUCCUCAACACUAGCUUUCACCUGAAUCUAAUGAAUCGUUGAUUAAAGCAUCUCUAAAUUCAUACUCUUCAUCUCUUGAUGCGUAAUGAAGUCUUCUGAGCUCUACACUUCAUCUUCAAUUUCAUGGGGACAGAGACUCAACAAUUCUAGUUUGUAGUUUGUUAUCUAAUUGCGAUAUCAUAGUUGUUAUUUCGCUGAAGGGUAGUGCAGCUCAUGUUGAAGGUUGCAGCUGCAAGUUUUCAUAUUUGAUUCUAACAUGAUUCUUGGUUGCAAAAUCAACAAUUCUCAAAAUCAA
Molecule: long non-coding RNA, 397 nt
Organism: Vicia villosa (hairy vetch)
Lineage: Eukaryota; Viridiplantae; Streptophyta; Magnoliopsida; Fabales; Fabaceae
Exons: 3
Source: RefSeq, a predicted model, not a curated record